RNAcentral lists this ribosomal RNA (455 nucleotides) under uncultured bacterium. RNAcentral describes it as "bacterial SSU rRNA". It matches the Rfam family "Bacterial small subunit ribosomal RNA", at positions 340 to 786 of the family's 1533-position model. The record is from RNAcentral.
UACGGAAGGCAGCAGUGGGGAAUAUUGCACAAUGGGCGCAAGCCUGAUGCAGCCAUGCCGCGUGUAUGAAGAAGGCCUUCGGGUUGUAAAGUACUUUCAGUCGUGAGGAAGGUGUUAAGGUUAAUAACCUUAGCAAUUGACGUUAGCGACAGAAGAGGCACCGGCUAACUCCGUGCCAGCAGCCGCGGUAAUACGGAGGGUGCGAGCGUUAAUCGGAAUUACUGGGCGUAAAGGGCACGCAGGCGGUUAAUUAAGUUGGAUGUGAAAUCCCCGGGCUUAACCUGGGAAUGGCAUUCAAGACUGGUUAGCUAGAGUCUUGUAGAGGGGGUAGAAUUCCAUGUGUAGCGGUGAAAUGCGUAGAGAUGUGGAGGAAUACCGGGUGGCGAAGGCGGCCCCUGGGACAAAGACUGACGCUCAUGUGCGAAAGCGUGGGGAGCAAACAGGGAUUAGAUACC